AGAGUUUGAUCCUGGCUCAGAGCGAACGUUAGCGGCGGGCCUAACACAUGCAAGUCGAACGAGAAUGUAGACUUCGGUCUACUAGUAAAGUGGCGGACGGGUGCGUAACACGUGGGUAAUCUACCUUCCGGCGGGGGACAACAGUCCGAAAGGAUUGCUAAUACCGCGUACGUCAGCGGCGCCUACGGGCGCUGUUGGGAAAGAUGGCCUCUCCUUGGAAGCUAUCACCGGAAGAUGAGCCCGCGUCCCAUCAGCUAGUUGGUGAGGUAAUGGCUCACCAAGGCAAAGACGGGUAGCUGGUCUGAGAGGACGAUCAGCCACAUUGGGACUGAGACACGGCCCAAACUCCUACGGGAGGCAGCAGUGGGGAAUAUUGGACAAUGGGCGCAAGCCUGAUCCAGCCAUGCCGCGUGAGUGAUGAAGGCCCUAGGGUUGUAAAGCUCUUUUGUGCGGGAAGAUAAUGACGGUACCGCAAGAAUAAGCCCCGGCUAACUUCGUGCCAGCAGCCGCGGUAAUACGAAGGGGGCUAGCGUUGCUCGGAAUCACUGGGCGUAAAGGGUGCGUAGGCGGGUCUUUAAGUCAGGGGUGAAAAUCCUGGAGCUCAACUCCAGAACUGCCUUUGAUACUGAAGAUCUUGAGUUC
This 642-nucleotide ribosomal RNA is filed under the name uncultured Alphaproteobacteria bacterium. RNAcentral's name for it is "bacterial SSU rRNA". It matches the Rfam family "Bacterial small subunit ribosomal RNA", at positions 8 to 649 of the family's 1533-position model. Lineage: Bacteria; Pseudomonadati; Pseudomonadota; Alphaproteobacteria. The record is from RNAcentral.